RNAcentral lists this ribosomal RNA (402 nucleotides) under uncultured bacterium. RNAcentral's name for it is "bacterial SSU rRNA". It matches the Rfam family "Bacterial small subunit ribosomal RNA", at positions 355 to 774 of the family's 1533-position model. The record is from RNAcentral.
UGGGGAAUAUUGGACAAUGGGGGAAACCCUGAUCCAGCCAUGCCGCGUGAGUGAAGAAGGCCCUAGGGUUGUAAAACUCUUUCGGCGGGGAAGAUGAUGACGGUACCCGCAGAAGAAGCCCCGGCUAACUUCGUGCCAGCAGCCGCGGUAAUACGAAGGGGGCUAGCGUUGUUCGGAAUUACUGGGCGUAAAGGGCGUGUAGGCGGCCGACUAAGUCACGUGUGAAAGCCCCGGGCUUAACCCGGGAAUUGCGCGUGAGACUGGUUGGCUAGAAUCCGGGAGAGGGUAGUGGAAUUCCCAGUGUAGAGGUGAAAUUCGUAGAUAUUGGGAAGAACACCAGUGGCGAAGGCGGCUACCUGGACCGGUAUUGACGCUAAGGCGCGAAAGCGUGGGGAGCAAACA